AUUCCUCAUCCUUACUCCAGGGUUAUCGUUGUUUGUACGUCCCCUGGCAUUAAUUGAGGAUAAAGUAAUUGCUCUCAUUCUGCUUUUGGAAACCUGUUUUCCUUAGGACUGAAUGAAGUGCAGACACU
Small nucleolar RNA from Xenopus tropicalis (tropical clawed frog), 128 nucleotides. The record is from Ensembl. NCBI's taxonomy places the organism in Eukaryota, Metazoa, Chordata, Amphibia, Anura, Pipidae.